Molecule: small nuclear RNA, 257 nt
Filed under: Heterocephalus glaber (naked mole-rat)
Lineage: Eukaryota; Metazoa; Chordata; Mammalia; Rodentia; Bathyergidae
Description: 7SK RNA
Rfam family: 7SK RNA
About the family: 7SK was discovered as an abundant small nuclear RNA in the mid-70s but a possible function has only recently been suggested. Two independent studies have found that 7SK RNA binds the CDK9/cyclin T complex (known as elongation factor P-TEFb).
Source: Rfam by way of RNAcentral
GGAUUUGAGGGCAAGCUGGUGGUGACAUCUGUCACCCCACUGAUCCGCCAGGGCUGAUUUAUCUGGCUAGAUGGAUGUCCCUUUCCUCCCUCACCACUCCAUGUGUCCCUAAAGCUGUGCGUCUGUGGAAAAGGGUGACCACCCCAGAGAGAGGAGGUACCUUUUCUCAGUCAAGGAUAUACAGUAGUUGAGCUCCCCUGCUAGAAUUUCCAAACAAGCUCUCAAAAGCAAAGAGCAAGGGAAGAGUCAGAGAGGAA